RNAcentral lists this microRNA precursor (160 nucleotides) under Prunus dulcis (almond). Its description in RNAcentral is "sRNA ncRNA". The record is from RNAcentral. Lineage: Eukaryota; Viridiplantae; Streptophyta; Magnoliopsida; Rosales; Rosaceae.
GAGAGAGAGGAUAAGAGGGGAGGAUGGGAGGGAGUUGUAACAAAAGUGAAAACAAAAACUUGAGUGUGAAAACAAUUUCAAAUAGAUUUCAGUUUUUAGUUUUUGUUUUCACUAUUGUUACUUCUUCCUCCCAUCCUCCUCUCUCAUAUUCCCUCUCAAU